RNAcentral lists this transfer RNA (76 nucleotides) under Rhodopila globiformis. RNAcentral describes it as "tRNA-Glu". It matches the Rfam family "tRNA". From Rfam's summary of the family: Transfer RNA (tRNA) molecules are approximately 80 nucleotides in length. Their secondary structure includes four short double-helical elements and three loops (D, anti-codon, and T loops). The record is from RNAcentral. RNAcentral also lists the same sequence under 5 other names. Lineage: Bacteria; Pseudomonadati; Pseudomonadota; Alphaproteobacteria; Acetobacterales; Acetobacteraceae.
GUCCCGUUCGUCUAGAGGCCCAGGACAGUGCCCUCUCACGGCACCAACAGGGGUUCGAAUCCCCUACGGGACGCCA